This is an RNA transcript of Symphalangus syndactylus (siamang), 3016 nucleotides long. It is a transcript of the gene named CD40 molecule, with no coding region annotated. NCBI's taxonomy places the organism in Eukaryota, Metazoa, Chordata, Mammalia, Primates, Hylobatidae. The record is from RefSeq and is a predicted model, not a curated record.
GACCCCGCCCCUUUCAUGGGCGGGGGCAAGGCUGGGGCAGGGGAGUCAGCAGAGGCCUCGCUCGGGCGCCCAGUGGUCCUGCCGCCUGGUCUCACCUCGCCAUGGUUCGUCUGCCUCUGCAGUGCGUCCUCUGGGGCUGCUUGCUGACCGCUGUCCAUCCAGAACCACCCACUGCAUGCAGAGAAAAACAGUACCUAAUAAACAGUCAGUGCUGUUCUUUGUGCCAGCCAGGACAGAAACUGGUGAGUGACUGCACAGAGUUCGCCGAAACGGAAUGCCUUCCUUGUGGUGAAAGCGAAUUCCUAGACACCUGGAACAGAGAGACACGCUGCCACCAGCACAAAUACUGUGACCCCAACCUAGGGCUUCAGGUCCAGCAGAAGGGCACCUCAGAAACGGACACCAUCUGCACCUGUGAAGAAGGCCGGCACUGUACGAGUGAGGCCUGUGAGAGCUGUGUCCUGCACCGCUCAUGCUCGCCCGGCUUUGGAGUCAAGCAGAUUGCUACAGGGGUUUCUGAUACCAUCUGCGAGCCCUGCCCAGUCGGCUUCUUCUCCAGUGUGUCAUCUGCUUUCGAAAAAUGUCACCCUUGGACAAGGUAUAAGCACUCAUCCCUUGUGUUUCCUGCUCUAAGAGUGGCAUGGAGCUGCCUCCAUUCUCUCCAGCCACCUGUCCUGUCCCUGCUCCCAGAGGUCUACACACACUCAUGUACUUGUGAAGCAUCUGCAGAGUGGCCUCAUGGCCAGCCAGACAGGCACGUUUCCACAUUUUUCUUGCCUCUCUCUUUGAGGUAAUAGACACUGUUGAUCUCUUGCUUCAUGAGAGCCUCCUAUCUUCGGGAUAUUGGGACACUUAUCUUAGCUUUCCUUCUGUCCCUCCUGCUUCUCCUCAGUUUUCCUCGUCUUGCUUUCACCUUACCUGGCUUUCUGGGCUCUGGGUGCUCACCCUGAGGGCCUCCCUCUCUUACCUCCAACUCCAAACCCACACCAGGUCCUGCCACUGGCUGUCUACAUGUUUUGGGAACUUACUCACUGUCUCCACUGUUGUCACUUUAGUUUGGGCCUCAUCACUGUGGUCUGGGUGAUGCCUUUUCUGCCUCCUGGCCUCCCUGCCUCUGGUCUCUCCCCUCCUGCUGGUUCUGUCUCCAUCCUCUUGCCAACAUGAGCGUUCGACAGUUUCUUUCAAAUCAUGACACUCUCCUAUUUGAGAUGCUUCCUGUCUGUCUGUUGGAACUAAGACUCCUUAGCAUGGCACCCGAUCUUCCUGUUGCAUUUCCUGCUCUCUUUCCUGCAUCACAUAGCUUCAUGCUACUUGCAAUCCUCUGAACACACUGUUCAUUCUCUUCCAUCAAACUCAUCUGCCUGGAAUACCUUAAACAUGGGCCCCAGGCCAGGCGCGGUGGCUCAUACCUGUAAUCCCCGCACUUUGGGAGGCCAAGGCAGGUGGAUCACUUGAGGUCAGGAGUUCAAGACCAGCUAGCCCACCAUGGUGAAAACCCAUCUCUACUAAAAAUACCAAAAAAUUAGCUGGGUGUGGUGGUGGGCACCUGUAAUCCCAGCUACUUGUGAGGCUGAGGCAGGAGAAUCACUUGAACCCGGAAGGUGGAGGUUGCAGUGAGCCAAGAUAGCGCCACUGCACUCCAGCCUGGGCAACAGAGCGACAUUCUGUCUCAAAAAACAAACACCUGCCCCAUUAACUUUUUGCAUUUGAUUUUUAAAAAUGGGCAAGAUAGGCACAUGGACAGAAGGCACAAAAGAGCCAAAGCGAUGUCUUUCUCCCAUCCCUGCCCCUUAGCCUCCCAGUUCUUUCUGGAGGGAGCCAUUGUUCCUUGCAUAUCUGCAUAUAAACAAACCAACACACACACACACACACACACACACACACACAAACACACACAAAAUUUCCCUCCUUUUACUUUUGCACAAAUAGGAGUAUACCAUAUACACUUUAUUUCUUAACUGUCUGCCUUUCCCUAAUAGAUUGAAAAUUCCUUAAAUGAAGAGACUUGGCCUUUUUUUUUUCUUCCAUUGAUACAUCCCCUAUACCUGGAACAGUACCUGAUGCAUGGUGGUAGGUGCUUAAAUUUUUACUGAUAAAUGUUGACUGAUAACUGGAGGCACCAGUGGUAUAGUUUUUUUUUUUUUUUUUGAGAUGGAGUCUUGCUCUGUCACCCAGGCUGGAGUGCAGUGGCGUGAUCUCAGCUCACUGCAAGCUCCACCUCCCAGGAGAAUCGCUUGAACCUGGGAGGUGGAGGUUGCAGUGAGCUGAGAUCGUGCCACUGCAUUCCAGCCAGUCUGGCGAAAGAGCGAGACUCUGUCUCACAAAAAAAAAAAAAAAAAAAAAAAAAAAAAAAAAGACUAAAGUACCUGGUUCCUUCAAAGCUUCUCUCUCUUUCUCCCACCUGAGAUGAUUUUUCCUUUGCAAUGUCCUGCGCGCAUUCCGCCCCACUCCUCCUGGGGCCACCUGGACCAGGUCUUCGUCAUCUCGUAUCUAUAUGCUUGCUGUGUCUCCUGGCUGGCCGCUCUUCUGUAAUUUCUCCUCCUCUGAGCUCUCUGGGCAGCUGAGUCCUCUCACUAGUGAAAUCGCCUGGUUGGAUGCUGAUGAGACUGACCAGCUGAAUCCAGUUGAAAACUUCACACUUGGCAGUGAUCUGGUUCUAAAGACACAAUUUUCCAUAGUUUCCUAACACCAUCCUGCAUGCCACCUGCCUGAUUUCCCCACAUCACAUCGUCCCACUUAGCGGGACUGCACUGCUGAUCCAAAUUUUACAUACUUUAGGGCCCACUCAGGUCUCGUGUCCUCAGGGAAGCCUUCUGGAAGACUCUUAAACCAGAGGUUCUCAACAGGGGUCAGUUUUGCUCCCUGUGGAACGUUUGCCAACGUCUGGACACAUUUCAUUUGUCACAAAUGGAGAGAGGGAUGCUACAGGGAUCUGGUGGAUAGAGGCCAGGGAUGCUGCUGAACAUCUGCAAUGCAUAGGACAGCCCAACCCCACCCCCACACCCCCAGUAAAUAA